This 266-nucleotide signal recognition particle RNA is filed under the name Clostridiales bacterium. RNAcentral's name for it is "signal recognition particle sRNA large type". It matches the Rfam family "Bacterial large signal recognition particle RNA". Rfam says of the family: The signal recognition particle (SRP) is a universally conserved ribonucleoprotein involved in the co-translational targeting of proteins to membranes. Archaeal SRP consists of a 7S RNA and homologues of the eukaryotic SRP19 and SRP54 proteins. Lineage: Bacteria; Bacillati; Bacillota; Clostridia; Eubacteriales. RNAcentral also lists the same sequence under 1 other name. The record is from RNAcentral.
CCGUGCUAGAUGGGGAGGUAGCGGUGCCCUAUAACCUGCAAUCCGCUAUAGCAGGGUUGAAGUCCUGCCUGAGGCUAGUACUGGUAGGGCCUGGCCCGAGCAAGUGAUGAGGAUGGUUGGGUCCUGCGCAACGGAAAUUCACGAACCCUGUCAGGUCCGGAAGGAAGCAGCAGUAAGUGGACACUUUCGUGUGCCGCAGGGGCGCCUGGCCGGAGUUAACUACUCGGUUCCCGCCUGUGAGUGCUUUGUCGAAGGUAGGUGCACGG